Molecule: long non-coding RNA, 1335 nt
Filed under: Oreochromis niloticus (Nile tilapia)
Lineage: Eukaryota; Metazoa; Chordata; Actinopteri; Cichliformes; Cichlidae
Description: lncRNA (ENSONIG00000039557.1)
Source: RNAcentral
CAGUAAAGCUCCUAAAGACAAACUGUUAAAGGAGGAAACAAAGCAAACUUACAGUUUCUUCAAACACCAACAACAAGCUCCACUCCACACCUGGAGAGCUUCCUGGAAGGAGGCGAGACUCCACAUUAAGAGCGAAAGAGGGCCACCUUCAUGUGCUGGUUUUAAACAUAUGCCAUUUGACUGCUCAGACUGAGUCUAAGGCUGUCUCCAAAUUCAGGGAUUUAAUUGGCCCACCAUAUCCCAGGAUUUAUUGCGGGUCAUACAGGAGAAUUGUUCUCAUAAUAAUCGUGGACAAAGCGGGAGUUAAUGAAAAUUAAUGGAGAUACAAGAAUAAAUCAAGUUACACAUCAUGUUCAUAUUGAUUGAUUGAUUGAUUGAUUGAUCAUACUUUAUUCAUCCUGAGGGAAAUUGGGUUAAGGCUGCCAGCCGUGCCAGUGCCGUCUUACCCUUCCGACCAUACAUACAUUACACUGAAUAAAGGGGACUGGCCAUCUCUUGGAUUCAUGCAAGCAUCUUGCAUGAAUUUAACACAAUUGCCUCAUGUUUUAAGGUUAAAUGUAACUAUAUAGUGUAAAAACUACAUGAUAUGCAGAAAGGGUGUAUUCAAUUGUUCAUAUCAUGUUCAGUUGAAGUAAGUCAAUAAUAUAGCAACGUUAAAUCUCGUGAAACCACGUGUGAUUUCAUCUCGCGGGCUUUGGAUCGUGGUUUAAAAAAGGCAUCCAGCUCUGUCAAGUCGAGCAGUCAACUCUACCUUUUUUGGUAUGUCUUGAUUUUUUUUUAAUUAAUAUUUACCAUAUUUCAGUCAAAUAUAGUUAAACGUCUAGAGUGUCGCCAUGUAACAUGCUAAAAAAGAGCCGUUAGCUUAUUUGCUGUUUUAUCUGUUGUCAAAGAAUUGGCGCUUUUUCAUUUGAACUUGUCUUUGGCACAAGAGCCAUGAUAUCACAUUAAACCUAAUUACGAGGCGCUCAUAACAUAAUUUGGUUUUCUUUGUGACUAGAUUUGCCAACUUCUUCUUCAGUUACAUUGUGUAUUUACUGCUUCGUGGUGUUAGUGAGAUUUUGGACAUUGAACAGCUUUAGAUAACAUCAUCAGCGGCAUUAUGCUAACUUACAUCCCUACCCCUCCUGCCCUGACCUGCUGUUCUUUUGUUUUUUUGCUGCACAUAGAGAGAUGACCUCUAUUCUGCAUUUCACCAGGAGUCAGCUGAUGGACUGUGGGUUCAAGGUGUUAUGGUGAGAAAGUAUAUUCUAUUUUUGCUUAAGGUUUCUGUAAUUUAAUUAUAAUAGAUUUUUUUUUAAAUUAUUAGGUGCAUGCAUACUCAAACAGACCACCCUA